This 446-nucleotide ribosomal RNA is filed under the name uncultured bacterium. Its description in RNAcentral is "bacterial SSU rRNA". It matches the Rfam family "Bacterial small subunit ribosomal RNA", at positions 29 to 520 of the family's 1533-position model. The record is from RNAcentral.
AACGAACGCUGGCGGCAUGCCUAACACAUGCAAGUCGAACGAAGCCUUCGGGCUUAGUGGCGCACGGGUGCGUAACACGUGGGAAUCUGCCCUUCGGUUCGGAAUAACAGUUAGAAAUGACUGCUAAUACCGGAUGAUGACGAAAGUCCAAAGAUUUAUCGCCGAAGGAUGAGCCCGCGUAGGAUUAGGUAGUUGGUAGGGUAAUGGCCUACCAAGCCGACGAUCCUUAGCUGGUCUGAGAGGAUGAUCAGCCACACUGGGACUGAGACACGGCCCAGACUCCUACGGGAGGCAGCAGUGGGGAAUAUUGGACAAUGGGCGAAAGCCUGAUCCAGCAAUGCCGCGUGAGUGAUGAAGGCCUUAGGGUUGUAAAGCUCUUUUACCAGGGAUGAUAAUGACAGUACCUGGAGAAUAAGCUCCGGCUAACUCCGUGCCAGCAGCCGCGG